Long non-coding RNA from Equus caballus (horse), 3000 nucleotides. The record is from Ensembl. NCBI's taxonomy places the organism in Eukaryota, Metazoa, Chordata, Mammalia, Perissodactyla, Equidae.
GGCACAUGUUACUGAUGUCUGUAACAUUCCUUGAAAUGGAUUAAAAUUAAGACAGGUUGACGGAAGGACUAUGAACACAUGGACAGAUAGACAUAAAGCAAGUACAUUCAAAUGUUAAUGGUAGAAUCAACACUGUGGGAAUAUGGGGUUAAAUAAAAAAUUAUUUCAUAUUUCCAUUGUGUUUUGAAAUUUCCAUAAUUAAAUGUUGGAGAGAAAAACUUCACGAGGCCUUUCCACAUUUGCCUUUUUUGGAAGACGCCAAGCAAAGGGACAUGAAUGUUCAGGGUAACUGGAUCUGCUCGGAGGAGAAGCCUGUGAGGAGCAGGAGCCACACAGUGAGGAACAGUUGUCCAGGAUCCCUGAUUCCUCUAGGAAUGCCAGAAACCUCUUGCCUUCAGAGUUCCCUCCCCACAGCUGCCUGGAUCGGGGAGGCCUUACUCAGCUCAGAGGUCAGCCAGGGGCCCAGGAAUGCGGACACGACCCUACGAAGGACACACUGCUGUCUGGGUGUGCCUGGUCAGGCAGAUUAUUCCACCACAGGGGGACAGCCGUUGUGCUGGUGACACCUCAUGAAUAAUCUGUUUCUGUGGACUCACAUGCUUAUUCUUCUGCUGUUGUGGAGAAGAAAACGCACCAAACAUGGCUGUCAGGGGUGAGGACGCCUUUCUCUCAUCCUCUCGCAGAUCCAGAACUUCUGAUGACGAGGCGCCCUAGGGCGCUGAGCUUUGCUCCAAAGAUUGAUCUACAUUUUCCUCUCUGACUUGUGCUGCGUGCAGUGCGCCCUUGCUCUGAUGCAGCUCUCUCAGUUGUCCAUCCAGCCUCUGCCCAUGUGAGCGCUGUUCCAUCUGGGAAGGGAAAGCUCUGCUCUUUCUCAACACUGUAAAAAUUCCUAGAAAGAUGUGAUAACUGCCCAUUCCGGGGUUUUCUCUUUCUGCUCUGCUGUUCUGCCAGGAUUCUCGGCACAGUGCUCUCCUUCGCAUCUACGCUUCCAUUCCCCUUGUCAGCCAGAGUUCCCUAGGCUUUCUGGGAUUUCCAUAACAGUUUUUAGGGUCCCUGAGCUCACGAUAUUGCUCGUCCUUGUGAAGUGUUUCCUGUUUUCACUUCACCCUGACCACGUGGAUUUUGGCAUUUCCUUCCCAAACCCCAAGGGCUCAUCUUGUUGAUCUCUCCUUCUUGACCUGCCCCCAGGGUGAGGAAGGAGGAUGCUGGCGGGAAGGUGAGGACUUGAGUCUGUGCUGAGACCCAGAGGAGGGGCGGGGCGGGCGGCCUCUUCAGCAGGUGGACUCUGAGGGGGUCGGGAAAGAAGAGGUAGGAGAAGAGCGAGAGCGGAGAGCUUCCCUCCCCACAGACUCCAUCCAGCGGCGGGUCCUGACGACCUGGCGUCUAUCCUGCCCGCCCUGCCACCCAGCCAAUCCAGGCUGAUGCUCAGGGUGCGUCUCAACGAUGCAUCUGUGACGUCAUGCGGCUCCCCACCGUCUUGACAUCCUUGGGAAUUCCUCCUCAGCCCCGCCUGCCUCCCUCCUCCAUCCCACUAUCCGCCCUGUGCAGUCAGGAGGUGUCCCCAGUUCACUGGUGAAUUCAUUGGAUCUGUCACGUCGCCAGCUGGAAUGGGACAGGCCCUGAACACAGGGAUCCCAGGAUUGCUGUCACUCAGCGUAGAACAUCACUGUUACCUAUGUAUGAAGUGAGUGAUCUCUGAAGACUUUCCUUUUUUCUUGACAGAGAAUGUUUAGUACUGUCUGAAUCCUCACAUGGGCCACAAGUGUUGCUCUAUGAAUAAAGAGUUUCUCAUGAUUUCUCAUUCAAUUGCUUGUCCAGUAUGAAUUAUUUGGUAUUCUUCAAGAGGCUUCAUCCUCCCACAUUCUGUUUUAGUGUUUAUUCUUUCACUGAGUUUUCCUGUGCUCACUAUGCCUGGUACUUGGCUGCAUAUUUGUUCACAAUGAUUACAGACCUAGGAGUUCUCCCAAGUGGAGUUGCUCAUGUUGUUUAACCAUGAAUUAUAAACGAGAGUAUUCCCACACUGACCACAGACCCAGGGGUCCUCCCCGUGUGAGUCCUCUAGUGUGUUUAAAGUUUAGAGCUGUUGCUUAAAAUAUCUACAUUCCUUGUAUUUACAGUGCGAGUUCUCUCAAGUCAUUGAUGGUCAGACCACUGACUGAAGAUUUUCCAACACAUAUGGAUUCUCUUCCAUGUAAAUUUGCGUAUGUCAAAGGAUGACUGAAGGAUCUUCCACACUGAUUACAGACAGUGUUUCUUCAAUGUGUGAGUCCUCUGGUGUGUUUAAAUGUUAAAGCUAUGACUGAUGUUUCUUCCACAUUCAUGACAAUUAUAAUACCAUGUCAUCUCAGGUCAGAAUAUUCACUGAGGACAUUCAUGAUUCUCUCUCCAUUGUGGGUUUCCUCAUGUCGUCUAAGGGCAGAACACUGACUGAAGGAUUUCCCACACAGCUGACGUUCAUAUGUUUUCUCUCCAGUGUGAGUUCUCUUAUGUCAUCUAAGGGCAGAACAUUUACUGAAAACUUUCCUACAUAGAUGACACUCAUAUGGCUGCUCGCCAGUCUGCAUUCUCUCAUGCUGUCCGAAGUUAGAGGACUAACUGAAGGCUUUCCCACCGAGGUGACAUUCAUAUGGUUUCUCUCCAGUGCGAGUUAGAUUAUGUUUUCUAAGGUCAGAGCUUUGAAUAAAGGCAUUCCCGCAUAUAUGGCAUUCGUACAGUUUCUCUCCAGUAUCAGUCAUCUCAUGUCAUCUAAGGCUAGAGCAGUUACUAAAGGCUUUCCCACACAGAUGGCACUCACAGGAUUCACCUCUAGAGAGACUCUGCUUAUGUUGAUUCAAGUAUGAGUGGUCACUAAGGGAUUUUUGACACUGUUUGCUGAUACAGGGUGAGUUAAUGUGUGAGUAUUCGUGUAAGUUAACAAAUGUUGAGUCAGUGUUGAGUUAUGAGUGAAAUCUUCUCCCAAAUGAUUACAUUCAAAUGGAUUCCCUAGAGUGUGAGAUUUCU